This 8000-nucleotide long non-coding RNA is filed under the name Malus domestica (apple). Its description in RNAcentral is "long non-coding RNA (MDOM_LNC002296)". The record is from RNAcentral. Lineage: Eukaryota; Viridiplantae; Streptophyta; Magnoliopsida; Rosales; Rosaceae.
GAGACAGUAGGACAGCAAACCGAACUGGUGCCGAUCGUGACAUUCCAACCCCUCAGGAUAACCUUAAGCUAAUUACUGAAAAAUUCCGCAACAAAGGAUUAGAUUCCACUGAUCUGGUUGCGUUAUCAGGUACAUACAUUUGACCACAAUGACAUUAUUACAAUUUUUGUUGGACAAUACAAUACAAAAAUACCAAAUGAAUAACCUAGCAAUUUCGUAUAUGCAUAAGUACUGUGUCAAGCUUAUGCUGCUAUUUAGACCAUAUUAUUUACUACCCUUAUUGCUGAUCACAACAUAUAAGUGAGUUCCGUAUUUAUUAGAGAGAUAGUAAGUAAAUAUUGUACAGUGUGCUCGGGGAUACAUGACAGUGCAUUAUAUAUAUGUUAUUAUAUAAGUGGAGGAAUUUUUUCUUCUUCUAGUGUAUGGUGUAUUGCCCCGUAUUCUGGACAGAUCAAAAAAUGUAUUGUGGUGUGGGUGGGUUAACAAGAGGGGUGUAUUUUUACUCAUCACCCUCAAAUAGUAGUAAUGCUCAUCACCCUAUUUAUCAUUGGAUGAGUUUAAAUUUUGAGAUUUAUGUCUAUUCAUUACAUAGAUCUCAAAAUUCAUAUUCAUCUAAUAAUAAUAAAUAGAAUGAUGAGUAUUACCAUCAUUUCAAGACGAUGAAGAAAAGUAUAAUAACAAAAAAAUAACUAGAGUACCAUUUUCCUUUUUUUGGGGCUGAUUUGGGAAGUGCCAACUUGUUUACAUGGAAGUUGGCACCCUUAAUUAACAAACUGUGGGUCAUAUUGAGCAAGGGGCACCAGAUGCAACUGUGCCGAGAAAAAGGGAUUUGGAUUCCAUCUGGAUUCAAAUGGUGAAGAUUUUAGAGAUCUUCACAUCUUAGUUAUUCAUCGUAUAUUAUGUGGUCAUAAAUUAUUUAAAUUUUUUAUUUAAAAUUAAACACAAAUAAUAUUUGACAAAAACUGGCCCCACGAUGUACGAUAAACGGUUAGGAUGUGAGCAUCUCUAGGAUUCUCACGAAGAGGAUCCGGAGAAGAUCCUCUUCCGAGAAAAAGAGUGCCUGAUGCCCAAAGUUCUAGUAGCGUCUCUCUCAGUUUUCAUCAUGUCAAUAAUAGGUUAAUUAUUUUCAAAGGUAUAAAUGUGGUUGUUUGCUUUCUUAGGUGCCCAUACAUUUGGCCGGGCAAAAUGUAGAUUUUUCGUCGAUCGCCUCUACAAUUUCAGUGGCACCAGCAAACCGGACCCGACCAUUGAUGUCGAGUACAUGAAAACCCUACGCCAAACAUGUAGUCAAGGUGGCAAACCAAGUACCUUGACCAACCUUGACCAAGCAACUCCUGAUGCCUUCGACAAUUAAAAGGUCGUACCCAGUGCACAAGGCUCCCGCUUUACGCAGGGUCUGGGAGAGGUGAAUGUCGGCUAGCCUUACCCCCAUUUAUGGAGAGGCUGCUCCCAAGUCUCGAACCCGAGACCUACCGCUCAUGGGCGAAGGCACUUGCCAUCGCACCAAGUGCGACCUCUAUAAAAUCAGAAAAUUAAUAGUGGAUAAGCUCACUACCAUUGAUGUCUUCGACAAUUACUACUACAAAAAUCUCCAAAACAACCGCGGGCUCCUCCAGACCGAUCAGGAGUUGUUCUCAACAAGUAGCAUAGACACUGUUUCCAUUGUGAACCGCUUUGCUAAUAACCAAAGCGAUUUCUUUGAUACUUUUGCACAGUCCAUGAUCAAAUUGGGGAAUAUAAGACCUUUGACAGGAAGCGCUGGAGAGAUUAGGGCUGAUUGCAAAAGAGUCAACUAGUCAAUCAGUCUACUAAUAGGUUACCAAUUGCCCUAAAUGAGGGUACUGUGUUAGCAUGAGGUUUAGGUACCUUGUCAUUUUGGUCUAUUUUUACUUCCUCACUAAUUAUAUAUAGCUCACUGAGUGUUUUUUCAUACUGUAGUCAUUUUAGUCCAUUUGAUGAGGGUUUCCAAGUAUAUCCAACGUUAAUGGUCGAACCGCGCUGCUGCGACUUAUUUAAAUAGGUCGUGCUUGUGUCAUGCUAGAUCAGUCUGAUAUUUGACAACUCUAACUUAAAUGUGCUUAAUUACCUUGUUGGAAAAGUUAGCAAAUUAAGAAAUUGGUUUGUCAGUUAUUCAGUGAGUAAGGCCCAAGUGGUAGAUGAAUCGAUUUCAAACCAUUUCUGAACAAUUUCACGUAUUAUACACUCAAAUGGGGGCAUGUAGAAUUAUUGAAGCUAACCCUAAGAUCAAUAAAUGCAAAAAGGAAAACAAAGAAAAAAGCUACGAUCGAAGUAAUCUUCAUCUAAUCAAAAUUUUGUCUUAGACUUUUAUGUUUUGGACUAAACUUUAGAGCAGUAUUCAUAGACUCGUAAUUAAUGUUAUUUCGGAGAGUUUCCAAGUAGUACUGUGACUUAUUUUAAUAGGUUGUGUUGUUGUCAUGCUAGGCCAGCUUGACCCUUUGACAAUUCUAACUUAAAGGAUUAGAAUUUGUGCUUAACUGGUUGAAAAAGUUAGCAAAUUAACGAUUUGGUUUGCCAAAUAUUCAGUGAGCAAGGCCCCACUGAUAGACAAAUCAAUUUCAAACCGUAUAUGAACAAGUUCAUUUAUGAUGGACUCGGCUUGGGGGCAGGUAGAAAUGUAAAAGCCAACCCUAAGAUCAGCCGCUACAAAAGGAAAAAGACAGAAAAAUGCUAUAAUCGAAGUGAUCUUCAUCUGAUCAAAUUUUUAUCUCAGACUUAUAUGUUUAUGACUGAACUUCAGAGUCUAUUUAUAGACUCCUAAUAUUAUUUAGGGUUAUCUCAAUUUUCUGAGCUAGCUGUCUUUGGGUGAAGAAUGAUGAGGUAUGAGUGUGACUAACCCUAAAUGAAAAUUAGGACAUUAAAUGGUGAUAUAUCUCUUAACUUUGACAUUACUUUCUUCUCAAACGUUGCAAGGGUGCGCGGAGUAGGUUUAUUAAUCAUGCAAAAUAGGUUAUGUUCACGUUUAAUCAUACACAAUAGUUGUGAAUGACUUAUACACUUGAAAAAUGGUUGAAAGCCAGCUAAUAAAUAGCUACCAACGGAUCUUUUAAAUCAACCUUCAAAAUACUAAUGUAAUUUUCAUUUAAUACCCCCCCUGAAAUCAGUCCUAAUAUUUUUAACACAUCUUCAAUGCAUAUGAAACUUAAAUGAAAUCACUUGGAAAAAAAAUAAAGCUAAUUAUCAUUUGUUUGAUAUUUUUUAUUUAAUUGGAUAUUCAAUCAAAGGUUUCUAUAUUUUAGUAGCAACACGUCAUUAAGUUUUCUUUCAUAACGUGUUUCUUUCUUAUUGAUGACAUAUAAUUUAGUUUGCAAAUUUGAUUUAAAAAUUUGGUAUCCCUAACAUUACCUAUUAGAUAACGUAUUGCUACUGUAAUUUGGUAUUAUUGAUUGUAACCACUUUUGAAAACUAAACCAAAAUAACACACAUGAUUUCUGUAAUAGAACAAAAUAAACACUAUUUUUUGAAUUAUAGCAAAAUAACCACAUUAUUUUUUAAACUAAACCAAUAUAAUCCACACUAUUUUUGAAACUAUAGCCAAACAACCACACUAUUUCUGAAACUAAAUCAAAAUAACAACACUAUUUCUAAAACUGAACCACAAUAACUACACUAUUCAUGGAACUACUGCAAAAAUAACUCACACUAUUUCUAAAACUGAACCAAAAUAAUCCACACUAUUUAUGAAACUACAAAAAAAUUACUCACACUAUUUUUCAGAACCAAAAUAACCCACACUAUUUCUGAAACUAUAGCAAUAUAACCACACUAUUUCUGAAACUGAACUAAAAUAAUUCACACUAUUUAUGAAACUACAAAAAAAUUACUCACACUAUUUUUCAGAACCAAAAUAGCCCACACUAUUUCUGAAACUAUAGCAAUAUAACCACACUAUUUAUGAAACUAUAACAAAAUAACCACACUAUUUUUGGAACUACAGCAAAAUAACCUACAUUAUUUCUAGAACUACAACAAAAUAACUCACACUAUUUCUGAAACUGAACACAAAUAGCCACACAUUAUUUUUGGAAUUAUAACAAAAUAGCCCACACUAUUUUUGAAAAUUAAACCAAAAUAAUCUACAUGAUUUCUGGAAGGAAACAAAAUAAACAUUAGUUUUGGAAUUAUAGCAAAAUAACAUACAUUAUUUUGAAACUAAGCCAAAAUAACCAACACAAUUUCUGAUACUGAACAAAAUAACACACAAUAUUUUUAAGACUGCAACAAAAUUAUACCUAUUUUAAAACUGAACCAAAAUAAUGAGUUUUAAAACUAGGAGAUUUUCAGUCUUAUGAGCCAAAAUGUUUAGUACGUUGUAUUUAGAUAUGGAUUUUGAAGAGCAUUAACGAGUUUUAAAUUAUUCUUUACUCUUCACAACUACUUAACUUAUUUCCCUGAUAAUAUCAUCUUGUUGGUAAAUAAUUGGCAUUCUUGUGAUAGGUUGAGCAUGCAUCGAUUUCACAAGUCAAGUCUUGCAUCUCAUUGACAUGUCCCCUUUGGAUAAUAUAUUAUGGGGUUUAUGAAUUAGUCUUAAUAUUGUUCCCUAUAUAUAUAUAUAUAUAUAUAUAUAUAUAUAUUGGUCAGGAUUAACAAUUGCAUUGAUAAGGGAAAUACAAAAGGAGAUAAAAGGGUGAGGGCAUGGACGCCCAAACCCAGAUAAAAGAUAAAAAAUAAAAGUGAUUUGACGCAUUUGAUCUACAUGAAAAAGAAAACAAAUGUGACAGACAUAAUACAUGGACACAACCAAACAAAUAUUUAAUGGGAGUGUGGCCCUGACAAAUUUCAAGUAGCUCAAAACCUAAUAUAAAUUUUAACUUUUUGAUGGAAUGGACUAAUGGAAUGAGACUUCUAUCAGAGGCAUUGGCUGGAAAAAAGAAAAAUUAGUGUUGCCCGUGUUAUUAAUGAGGUUUUAGCUUUUAUCCAUAUCAUAUUGUAUUUUGCCUUUUUUAUUAAAUUUUAAGUUCUUUAUAUUAAAUAAAGUUAAAGGGUGAUUUUUCUUAAAAUAAACUUAUCUCAAGUCUUUUUUUCUCUCUUUUUAAUAAUGAGAGCGCAUUUCAUUUAACAACCAAAAAAGCUCCACGAAUGGCUAAAAGCAAACAAACAUCAGCCCAAAACCUAACUGAAGCCCAAAAAGUAGAAGCAAUCCAUAAUACUUCAAACCCUAGCAUCAAACUGUACCCAUAGAGCUGGCACCACCUUUUGUUGGUGCAGAAAACGUCACCAUCGUAGAUACAAGCCAAAAUUCAAUGAAAAGAGAGCUCAUACGAAAAUGGGACAUUUAUCACGCACAUAUUCAAUAGACCAAGUGAGUAUAAUACUAUCUUGAGAUCCUAAUUUCGUCAAUCCAUGAAUCUGCACCCUACGUACCAAAGUGUGGCUGAGAGAGCUAAGAACGAGGGGGCACAUUGCGGAGAGAUCUGCAUCAAAGGGAAGUUUUGGCAUACGGAUAAGCGUUUGAGCAUAUGACUGGACAAAGCGGGAGUAUAAUUUCAGAUUUAGUGGCGGGAUGGCGAGUAUGGGUGAGCGGAAGGCGAGCAAGUGGGGGAUGGAGGGGAAGAGCAAUGGACAUCAAAGCUUAGCUGACGGAGUGGAGAAUUUUCAUGGAGGAGGAAGAGGAGUGGGAGAGAUGAAGGCGCCACUAGGGCCGGGGCAAUUUAGCUUGAUAUAUAUGUUGGAUUUUUGGAUUGCCGGGCCCGUCCCACUCUAACGACACCGAUAUUGUCCCAAACUUUACCACUUGCCCAAUCCGUCAGGUAUGGAGUUCUAUCACAAAAGGUCUCAGUAUGAGUUAGAGUAGAGUAAUCCUAUUUAAACCCAUUGGGUUUCUUUCAACCCACCUACUCCGCCUCACGUGUAACCUCAUUUAGUGGUUUACAUGUGGAGGUCCACAUCAGUAAUUGAAACUCAAAGGUUGGCUCCCGUUGGGCCCACUUGUUUUCAAUGGAACUCAAUGGUCAUCUCUAUGUUAAGAGUUCAGACUUGUUUCCUUCUUGGUGACAAGCUCAUUGGCUUGCAUAGGCCCGAAACCGUGGGCUUUGAUACCAUGUUGGAUUUUUGGAUCUCUAGGCUCACCCUACUCUAAUGACACCGAUAUUGUCCCCAACUUUACCACAUGCCCAAUCCUUCAGGUGUGGGGUUUUACCAUAAAAGGCAUCGGUAUUAGUUAGAGUAAGGUAAUCCAAUUUAAACCCAUUGAGUUUCAUUAAACCCACCGAUGUGGGACUUUAACAAUAUAGUAAUUUCUCCAUUAAUUGAGAAAUAGUACUAGUUGGUCCAUAUAAUUGCAGUUGCAAAAGUUGUUGCAUGGUAUUAAUACAAUCAUUUACUAUAAUCAUUCCACAUAUUGUAACAUAGUUUUAUAAUUAUUGUAGGAUUGUAAGUUUUUUUAGUUAAGAUUUAGGGAUUCAAUUAAGCUAAGGCCGGUCGCUUCCUAACUGGUUAAUUAAUAUUAGAUUAACUAGGGAUAAAGGAAUCCUAAUUGACACGUCCCGACCCGAUGUCCUAGGGACAAAGGGUUGGUCACGUGCUGGCCGACACCCGAAGGUGACGAAAGCCAUUUAUUAAGUGCAAAUGCUGAAAACAAGGGAUAUAUAAGACUUAUAAAUACAAAAGAAUAAAGAAUAUGCAUUUAAGGAACGUGUUCAGAGCAUACGACUAACUAGAAUACUAACAGAAAUAAUAUAAAAUUGAAUGAAUAAAAGAAUAAGUCCUACACCAAGAAGACUCGAAGAUGCCGAUGCGGAAGUGCUUGAAUGCCGGGAUUGUAUAUCUUGAUUCUAUGUCAGUACUUAGCCGCCAAAUGCUGCGCCACUAGCGAAGACGGAAACGUCACCAUUAAUUGCCCCCAAGCACAUAAAGGGUACAUUUAGUCAAACUCUACUCAAACGAUUUAAUUUGGGAAAACAGACUUCAGAAACGGGUCCAGGAUGUCGAAAUUAGCCUAGGAAGGUAUUGGACGAAAACCCGAAAGGUCAAAGUCAACGGUAAACGUUGACCAGUCAAAGUGAACGGUCAACGUUGACCGGGUCAACGGUCAACGGUCAGUCAACGGGUCAGGGUCAGGGUCGGACCAGGUCAAACGGGUCAGGCUUUGGAUCCGGGUUUGGGUUCUAGGGUUCUUGGGCUUGGUCCUAAAGCCCAAUGGUUUAGGGGUUGGGCUUAAGCCCUUAACAGAAACGGCCCAAAGGGCCCUAAUUCUUCCAAGGCCCGAAGGCCUAAACUAAAAAGGGUCAUGGGUUGGGCUCGGCAGAAAAGCCCAAAGGGCUUGGGUUUUGGUGGGUCGCCGGACCCAAGGAUGAAGAAGGCCGGAAUUCGGCCGGAAAUUCACACCUACUUUAAACGGCCAUAACUUUGUCACUACUCAACGAAAUCAAGCGAAACAAAAAUGAAAGUUGUAGCCCUGGAAGAGACGAAGAGAAUGAUACCUCACACGACAUCUAAAGCGCAGUGAUUUGUCCGGAAAAUGCCUCGAAAGCCGUCGGACUCGCAGGAAACUGGGUAAGAUUCAAAUGAGUAUAACUUCUUCAAUACUCAAUGAAAUUGGGUGAAACAAAAAGGAAAGUUGUAGUACUCAGGAAGACGAAGAGAUUGAUACCUUACACGCCGGCCAACUCAUCGUGAUUUGGCCGGAAAUGGCCUCGAAAGGGGCGGUGCUCGCCGGAGCUCGUGUACGGGGCUUCGUGGUUCGACUUCCAAGAUACCAAAACUAUGGUUGAGUUAGUAGAGACGAGAUAAAGACGAUGGUGAUGUCGAAAUUGUGAUUUGAUGAUGAUUUAGUAUAUGGGUUAGGGGUGUGGCACGGUGAAGGAGAAGAAGAGAGAUAGAGAAAGUGAGGGAAAGUGACGGGAAAGAGAGGGAAGAAAAAGAGAGAAAAAAGAGGGGGGGGUCCGGGUAGAGGGGAACAAAAAUCAAAGGGUGGGCCCCUUGGGCUCACCAAUUAAGAAUUAAAAACCAUUUUUAAAAUAAAAUGGGGGUGAGGUGUUACA